AUGCGCAAUGCCAACCAGCGCCUGCGAGUCUUGCUGGUACUACGUAAAAUUUCCCACCGCGAAGCAGGUAGUGAUGCUGCGACGGCUUUCCUGCCGACCGCCAGGCGCUGCUACAGUGGAUGCGAACUACCUCAUUAUAUCAUGCUGCAGAAACCAGCUCAACUAUGCGAAACUACCACCAGGAUUGGCCGACACCGGCAGGGAUUCCAGAGACCACGCUGCAGAGAGCAUGCAGAAAGAAAAUUAAGAAAUCAGAUGCAGCAGCAGCUGGAACCCACAGUUCACCUUGGUGCAUUCCUUUAUGAUGAAGACUUAUUGAUUCAUUAUAUGAGAAAGGAAAAAUGAGCAGAAACUACUGUAUGAUGUGCAGCUCACACCAGACAGCACCUUUAGGGUUAUCUUUCCAGUUCAGCAGUGCAACUCUAUAGAGUAGAAUUGAAAGGAGACUUUCCCCAAUUGCAGGAAAUGGUCAUAAAAAAAUACCUGUUCACUAACAGAAUAAAG
Molecule: long non-coding RNA, 504 nt
Filed under: Piliocolobus tephrosceles (Ugandan red Colobus)
Lineage: Eukaryota; Metazoa; Chordata; Mammalia; Primates; Cercopithecidae
Description: lncRNA (ENSPTEG00000025679.1)
Source: RNAcentral